UUCAGUUAGUGUGGACUGAUUGGCCAG
This 27-nucleotide non-coding RNA is filed under the name Rattus norvegicus (Norway rat). Lineage: Eukaryota; Metazoa; Chordata; Mammalia; Rodentia; Muridae. The record is from RNAcentral.